UCUAACUUGUUUAGUGGAUGGGUGCAGCGUCAGCUGCAUCCAUUCAGUAAACAAACGUGCUUCUGCGUACGAAUAGUACACAGGGUGCAUACACGCUUUGAUGUUGUAGUAAUAUUGUAUAACUAAACAAACAG
Molecule: unclassified non-coding RNA, 134 nt
Filed under: uncultured fungus
Lineage: Eukaryota; Fungi
Description: sequence contains ITS1, 5.8S rRNA gene
Source: RNAcentral